This is a non-coding RNA of Danio rerio (zebrafish), 1684 nucleotides long. The record is from RefSeq and is a predicted model, not a curated record. Lineage: Eukaryota; Metazoa; Chordata; Actinopteri; Cypriniformes; Danionidae.
AGUUCUUUGUGUAAGACACUUCAUCUAAAUUUGUCCUCCUAAAUGUUCAUCAUAUACGCGCAAAAAUGUGUGCAGAUGCGGCGCUUAGUGAUUAUUCACAUAAUCUCUCUUUGUUAUGUGAUAAGAGUGAAUGAAUAUUUGUGUUGCCGUAAAUCAUAUCCAUGCCCCGGGUAGCAGGAAGUAAUCGGCCCGAGCUCGGCUGCCCUUCGGCGCCUCCGGCUCCGACUCGGCAUCAACGAGUGUUAUACGGGCGGAGUGUGGCCCGCAGCUCGCUCGCGCACAUGCGUUUGUGAUGCAGCUGUAAACACUGGCCAGAUUCCUGUUAACCCUAUCUGGCCCGAGUCUGUCUCGGCUCGUAUAAGGACUCGGCUUGUGUAACUGAUGACAACCGAUUAAAUUCUUAUUUUAUCUAGUAAUUUGUUAGCUCCACGUUUAAUGAUAAUUUGAGAAAAUAUAUAUGGUACAACAGCAACAAAAUAAUAAAAACAUUUAGUGUGGAUGGUCGCAAUGUUUAGAUGCAAACAAAACAAUAUUAUUUAUAAAUGGAUUAUAUAUAUCAUCUAGGGAAAACAGUGUAAAAUGCGCUUAUUUUCGAGAUAGCACGCUUCCAUGCAGACUGUUUUUUUAAGCAGAAGUUUGGUUUCAUAAGAAACACAUGCGUGAGUCAACUCUUGGUCCAAACUCCAAUCCAGACGGUGGCGGUAAUGUUCCAAAAGCUGGUUGCCAACCGCUAUGAUGAUCACAAGAAGAAAAAGAAGUUUGGCGUUUCAAAACAGUGGAUUCCGGUCAGAAAGACACACAUGAGGAAGCUCGACUCAGCUUGGCUUGCAGACAGAUGAGGACGGUGAUUGCCCGUCAUACACCUAAAGAAAGAACAGGGGCAUUAAAGACACAACUAUAGUGAACGUGAUGAAGAAAAAUUAUUUGGAACAAAGAGGCUGGAGAAAAAACUGAUAUGAAGAUUUCAGAAAUUGAUGCAGCACCGCAAGUACCAUCACCACCAAUGACUAUGGCAGGAUCCUUAAGAACACCAUCAAGAUGCACAGAUGCUGUACAUUCCAGUACACCUAUGAACAUUUACAGUCCUUGUUCAAGUGCAGUCGGAGAUCAAGACAACUUAUUGCAACUCGUCAUGUCUUUCACGACUGAAAAAAAGUUUUAAAAUCAUGUGACGUCAUAAAGCAGCAACUGUGCCUGAUUCUCACAAAUCAGCAAAACCAAAACAGACGUGAUGAAAUUCCAGAUGUAAACACAUUUGACCUUUCUUUGUCCAAUUUGAUUUGGAAAAACUUGAAAAUCAACUAAACGAGCAGCCCGAACAAAUGAAGAAACUGGUAGCCUACUUUGGAAUCAUUGGUGUUUUCCACUAAGCAGUUUGGUGUGUCCCGGGAAAGCUUUUGGCUCACUUUUUGGCUGAACAAAUUAACUGGAGCAGGGCAAACCAAAAUGUGGCCUUUCAUGCACUCUCCCUUACGACUGUCUAGUCAAUGUAGUGAGGAGAAAUGUCCAUACCACAUCACUGAUAAAGAAGUGGAAAAAUGCAUUACAAGGUGGCUACAACGUGCUCCUGACAGGGCUGGAGGAAGGAGGGAAGAAGAGAAAGCUAAUGUGUCAAAUGUCUACAUCAAUAAUUUAUUUUUUAAACAACAUUUUAAGUGUAUUAAGAUGUUCCCUGAUACUUGGG